This 329-nucleotide ribosomal RNA is filed under the name uncultured eukaryote. RNAcentral's name for it is "partial 18S ribosomal RNA". It matches the Rfam family "Eukaryotic small subunit ribosomal RNA", at positions 1470 to 1796 of the family's 1831-position model. The record is from RNAcentral.
CCCUUAGAUGUCCUGGGCCGCACGCGCGCUACACUGAGUGUCUGAGAUACGAGUCUGCCUGGUCCGGCAAGGUCUAGGUAAUCGCUAAAAGACACAUCAUGCUUGGGAUAGAUUAUUGCAAAUAUUAAUCUUGAACGAGGAAUUCCUAGUAAGCGCAAGUCAAAAGCUUGCGUUGAUUACGUCCCUGCCCUUUGUACACACCGCCCGUCGCUACUACUGAUUGGAUGUUUAAGCGAGGUUCUCGAACUGCUAGCGACUUAGCUUCGGUGAGGUCGCAGUGUGGGAAGUGAACCGAGCUUUGGUGUCUAGAGGAAGUAAAAGUCGUAACA